The sequence is a non-coding RNA, 99 nucleotides long. It matches the Rfam family "Bacteroidales small SRP". From Rfam's summary of the family: The non-coding component of the signal recognition particle in Bacteroides The record is from Rfam.
UGCCCCUGCAUGACGGUACGACUAGCUCCCUGUAACCCCCCCAGGGUCGGAAGGCAGCAAGGGCAUCAGGUCGUAGCAGUGCGAUACUGUCGUGCUUUU